This 1059-nucleotide long non-coding RNA is filed under the name Daucus carota (carrot). Its description in RNAcentral is "long non-coding RNA (DCAR_LNC003589)". The record is from RNAcentral. Lineage: Eukaryota; Viridiplantae; Streptophyta; Magnoliopsida; Apiales; Apiaceae.
CCCAAUGCAAGUGCUCCUAGGAAAACCUGCAGUAAAUGUGGCAGUGUAAAUCAUUUAUCUGCUAAUUGUAAAACUGUGACAGCCCGAGAAUCCGGGGGCCUGGAUUCUGACGUCACCACAUAAAACCCAUUUUUAAACACUUUUGAAAUCCUGUAUAUAUUUUUUUUUUUUCAAAAGAUAAUAAAAUCAGAGAGUUUAAAACUUGAAAGCCAUAAUAAGAGAAUUUCAAGAGAACAUUUAAACUUUAAUAAAUGAUUCGAAAGAGAACAUUUAAACCCCCUAAAAGCAACAGGAUCGCAUUCAGGUUACAGUAUUGAAAUUAGAAUCUACCACUAUUAUUACACAACAUCUCUUACCAAAUCAGAUCAUCUUCGAUAAGAAGAAUCACUGCCAACUAUUCCAGCUAUGACUUACACUUGAAUCUCUAUAGCACAGCUUUAGCUUGCACCAACCUCAUCAACUUUCCUGAACACUCCUCGACCACUGGAUCCUCAACUCUGUCUCCUCGCCUAGCAUUAGCCUUAUUCACAAUCUCAAUCAAUCAUCUCAUCUUUAAGCCUUUCUGAAAUGGUUAGAAAGGAAUAGCAAGGGUGAGCAACAAUGCUCAGCAAGUAAUAAUAAACAAUGAUAGUUCUGAAAUGAUAUAACAGAAGUUCACGAGUUCAAGAUAUAAGAGGAUUCAACCUGAGUUCACGAGUUUAGGUAUUGUAUAAGAAUAUCACAAUACCUUGUAGCAAUUGAACACUGAGGAAUUCAAUCUUUCCAAAAGAAUUAUUGAAUUGGACUAUCACAUUUUAAUUAAAACCAAGGUUAGGCAGCUGAUCAGUUCCGCACUAACCCCGAGCAGGCCCCGCCAUGCUCUAUCACUGGAUCCAAGGCACUCAUUGGCCUAACAUGACCACGAAUCUGGUCCACAGGUUUAUAUAAAAACAAUAAUCCAAUUCUCUAAUUCAAUUCAAGAAGCCAAUGUAAAUUAACAGAACAUCAUCAUAAAUAUCAUCAACAACAGAAUAAUUCCAAUUCAAACUUUGAUAAUAAUCUAUUCAUAAAUCAUGAUCC